Molecule: small nuclear RNA, 102 nt
Organism: Sciurus vulgaris (Eurasian red squirrel)
Lineage: Eukaryota; Metazoa; Chordata; Mammalia; Rodentia; Sciuridae
Source: Ensembl
UUACUUUGGCAGCACACAUACCAGAACUGAAAGGAUAUAGAGAAGAUGAGCUGGCCCCCGUUCCAGGGUGACAUGCAAAUUCACAAAGCGUUCCGUAGUUCU